RNAcentral lists this ribosomal RNA (464 nucleotides) under uncultured bacterium. RNAcentral describes it as "SSU rRNA". It matches the Rfam family "Bacterial small subunit ribosomal RNA", at positions 26 to 518 of the family's 1533-position model. The record is from RNAcentral.
AGGACGAACGCUGGCGGUGUGCUUCACACAUGUAAGUCGAACGGGGUAGCAAUACCUAGUGGCGGACGGGUGAGUAACACGUAGGAAUCUGCCUUCGAGUGGGGGAUAGCAAGCCGAAAGGCUUAUUAAUACCGCAUACGUCUACGGUCGGACACGGCCGUAAAUGAAAGGAGUAAUCCGCUUGAAGAGGAGCCUGCGCCCGAUUAGCUUGUUGGUAGGGUAACGGCCUACCAAGGCGAUGAUCGGUAGGUGGUCUGAGAGGACGAUCACCCACAAUGGGACUGAGACACGGCCCAUACUCCUACGGGAGGCAGCAGUGGGGAAUUUUGCGCAAUGGGGGAAACCCUGACGCAGCGACACCGCGUGAGCGAAGAAGCCUUUGGGGUGUAAAGCUCUGUCGGCUGGGAAGAAAAAAUGACUGUACCAGCAGAGGAAGCAUCGGCUAACUACGUGCCAGCAGCCGC